AUUGAACGCUAGCGGCAGGCUUUACACAUGCAAGUCGAGCGAGCGGCGGACGGGUGAGUAAUAUAUGGGAAACUGCCCGGUGGAGGGGGAUAACUACUGGAAACGGUGGCUAAUACCGCAUACUAUUGGAGGUGCCCAGAGCGGAUUAGCUAGUGGGUGGGGUAAGGGCUCACCAAGGCAACGAUCCCUAGCUGGUUUGAGAGGACGACCAGCCACACUGGAACUGAGACACGGUCCAGACUCCUACGGGAGGCAGCAGUGGGGAAUUUUGGACAAUGGGCGCAAUCCUGAUGCAGCCAUGCCGCGUGUAUGAAGAAGGCCUUCGGGUUGUAAAGCACUUUUGGCAAGGAGGCGUUACCCGCAGAAGAAGCACCGGCUAACUCCGUGCCAGCAGCCGCGGUAAUUC
RNAcentral lists this ribosomal RNA (406 nucleotides) under uncultured bacterium. Its description in RNAcentral is "partial 16S ribosomal RNA". It matches the Rfam family "Bacterial small subunit ribosomal RNA", at positions 30 to 526 of the family's 1533-position model. The record is from RNAcentral.